ACGGCUCAGUAACACGUAGUCAACCUAACCUAUGGACGGGAAUAACCUCGGGAAACUGAGAAUGAUGCCCGAUAGAACACUAUACCUGGAAUGGUUUGUGUUCCAAAUGAUUUAUCGCCAUAGGAUGGGACUGCGGCCUAUCAGUUUGUUGGUGAGGUAAUGGCCCACCAAGACUAUUACAGGUACGGGCUCUGAGAGGAGUAGCCCGGAGAUGGGUACUGAGACACGGACCCAGGCCCUAUGGGGCGCAGCAGGCGAGAAAACUUUGCAAUGUGCGAAAGCACGACAAGGUUAAUCCGAGUGAUUUGUGCUAAACGAAUCUUUUGUUAGUCCUAGAAACACUAACGAAUAAGGGGUGGGCAAGUUCUGGUGUCAGCCGCCGCGGUAAAACCAGCACCUCAAGUGGUCAGGAUGAUUAUUGGGCCUAAAGCAUCCGUAGCCGGCUCUGUAAGUUUUCGGUUAAAUCUGUACGCUUAACGUACAGGCUGCCGGGAAUACUGCAGAGCUAGGGAGUGGGAGAGGUAGACGGUACUCGGUAGGAAGUGGUAAAAUGCUUUGAUCUAUCGAUGACCACCUGUGGCGAAGGCGGUCUACCAGAACACGUCCGACGGUGAGGGAUGAAAGCUGGGGGAGCAAACCGGAUUAGAUACCCGGGUAGUCCCAGCUGUAAACUAUGCAAACUCAGUGAUGCAUUGGCUUGUGGCCAAUGCAGUGCUGCAGGGAAGCCGUUAAGUUUGCCGCCUGGGAAGUACGUACGCAAGUAUGAAACUUAAAGGAAUUGGCGGGGGAGCAC
Molecule: ribosomal RNA, 793 nt
Filed under: uncultured archaeon
Lineage: Archaea
Description: bacterial SSU rRNA
Rfam family: Archaeal small subunit ribosomal RNA
Source: RNAcentral